This 373-nucleotide ribosomal RNA is filed under the name uncultured organism. RNAcentral describes it as "partial 16S ribosomal RNA". It matches the Rfam family "Bacterial small subunit ribosomal RNA", at positions 527 to 896 of the family's 1533-position model. The record is from RNAcentral.
GUAGGUGGCAAGCGUUGUCCGGAAUUAUUGGGCGUAAAGCGCGCGCAGGCGGUUUUUUAAGUCUGAUGUGAAAGCCCACGGCUCAACCGUGGAGGGUCAUUGGAAACUGGAGAACUUGAGUACAGAAGAGGAAAGCGGAAUUCCACGUGUAGCGGUGAAAUGCGUAGAGAUGUGGAGGAACACCAGUGGCGAAGGCGGCUUUCUGGUCUGUAACUGACGCUGAGGCGCGAAAGCGUGGGGAGCAAACAGGAUUAGAUACCCUGGUAGUCCACGCCGUAAACGAUGAGUGCUAAGUGUUAGGGGGUUUCCGCCCCCCUUAGUGCUGCAGCUAACGCAUUAAGCACUCCGCCCUGGGAGUACGGCCGCAAGGCUG